UGGGCUUUGCUAAUCUUGUCGGCUCUGAGCCCAUCCAGAUUUGGGCCUGUUGGGCCUAUUCUAGAUGCGGCCCUCGACUGAAAGCCCGGCCUUUGACAGUCGACACACAGUGGUAGAGAGGAGACCGAAGUCGAGCUCCAUCCGCCGGACACCGGUAACCCUCACGCCGGCACGCCGCCGCCGGAGCGCCAUGAUCCACCUUCGGAAGCGCAUCGUCUCCCUCCUCCCCCGGACACCAACCCGCGUCCCUUGCCCCCACAACUCCCCGCUCUUCUAUCCCCACCGCCUUCUCUCCGCCACCAAAUGCGUCGCUACAACUACAAACCAGUUCGCCGUCGAGGACUACCUCGUCGCCACCUGCGGCCUCACCCGAGCACAGGCGCUCAAGGCGUCGUUGAGAAUCUCCCAUCUGAAGGACGCCUCGAGGCCCGACGCGGUCGUGGCCUUCCUCUCCAACCUCGGUCUCUCCAGCGCCGAGGUCACCGCUGUCGUCACCAGGGACCCCAAGGUCCUCUGCUCCGACGUGGAACGAACCCUCACCGCCCGCGUCGCCGAGCUCACCGACCUCGGGCUGUCACGUCCGGAGAUCAUCCGCCUCCUCAUCGUUGGCAUGAACCACUUCCGCCACGGCUCGCUUCGCCUCAAUGUUGAGUUUUGGAUCUCGGUCUUUGGCUCCCUAGACGAGCUCAUGCGGGUGCUCAGAAUUAACAACGUUCUCCUCAGCAAAAACAUUGAGAAGGUGUGCAAGCCCAACUUGGCGCUCAUUCAGAAAUGUGGUAUAGAUGUUUCUGAGAUCCCCAAAAGCUUCAUGUCCCGGGUGCUCACCGUGGACCCUAAGAGGCUGCUGGAAGCUUUGGCUCACCUUCAUGAGUAUAGAAUCCAGCAGGGCUCGCAAUUGUUCAUCCGCGGGCUCUAUACAUUUGCGAUCCUUGGCAGUGAGAAGAUAACCAAGAGGAUACAGCUGUUUGAGAAGCUUGGAUGGUCAAAGGAUCAUAUAGUAUCAGCGGUAAAGAGUGACCCAAAUAUAUUGGGUUUCACCGAGGAAAGGGUUCGAAGAAGCAUGGAAUUCUUGAUCGGGGUCGUUGGAUUGGAGGUACAAUACAUUGCACAAAGGCCAGCACUGAUAACUUGUAGCAUUGACCGACGGUUGCUGCCACGGAACUGUCUGAUGAAUUUUCUCAGGGCAAAGGGGCUGUUCAAUGACAAGCCUACCUUCUUUUCUGUUGCCUCUUUAAGCGAUAAGAAAUUUCGACGUCGAUACGUGCAUCCUUACGAGGAGAGAUUUCCAGGCCUUGCUGCUGCUUUUGCUUCUAGCAGUGCUGGAGAACACCAAUGGGAACGGCUAUAUAAGAUGACAGGCGAAAAUAGAGAGAGCUGACACUUGUUCUGGAAAGUGCUAUUAGGAACCUGUUGCAAGCUUUGUUUUUCAUCCCCAUUGAAAGAGUUGAUAUAUUCUUGCAACAACCAGAUUGUCAUUGUUCGGUCAUAAUUGACAAGGAAAUGCAGACAAAGUUACUGUCAAGGCUUCCCAAUUUCUAUCCAGUAAGGGCAAUGUUUUGGACUUCUUGGUUCAAAUGGUGCUGGAAAAACCUCUCAUUAGCAUGUUAUGGAAAUCAUAUUUUGUAUAGUAAAUUUCUUGAGCCUCUUAUUGACCUUGAGUAGUAGGAUGUUAAUGUUAUGUUUGGUAUCUACAGUAGUAUUUUAACCUCUUGGUGCUUAGAGGGAAAAUGAAAUUCAAAUAUCCCUUUCAAAAAAAAAAAAAAAUUGAACAAUUUUAAGAGUGCAGCCAUACAUUUAUUUAAAUAAGGCAACAUCAAUAAGAGGUUCAUGUAGGAAUAUAUUAAAAUUCUAUUAUUUGCUUUUUUUUUUUUGCAGCGGUUUAUUUUUAGCUUUUGUUGAUGUGCAGAUAUGAUUGAUUUUUUAUUGCUACUUCAGAUUAUGAAAUUUCCUUGUCCUGACAACAGCUGACUGGACUUACUAAACCUACAUCUGCUUACUGUGGGAAACACUAACUGGCUGAGGGCAUUUGAUGUUCUAUGGCAGACUAGAGAGAUUGAACGGUGCAGCAUCAGUAUUAGGCAUUAGCUAGGUACUGCCUGGGUACAGAGUGCUCUGCUAUUUUGUUUUCAUGAGUCUGAUAUACUUCUAUUUCCAAGGGUUAGAUAUAUUUCAUUUUCCAAGCUGAAGUACCAUGCAUUAUUAAGUUUAUUUGAAGAUGUAUGCCACUUUCAUAUUUUAAUCGAUUUAUUUACCUUAUCAUUGAGAGUCUAGAAACCAUUUGUGAUAAGUCCAUGUUACCAUAGAUACUAGAUUUCAAUUGGUUCAAAAGCCAUUGGUAAUGCAGCCUGUCUUGAGCUGACACACUUUGAAAACUCCAAAUUCGAAAUGUAAGGUUGCUAUCAUAUAUCUGCAUAUUUGUAACUUACCAUGUAUCCUAGUUUACAAGUGGAAGUUCAGACUGUCAUCUUCUUAUUCAAAAAGAGUGAUAAAAUAAGUUCUCAUAUAUUGUUUGGAUGGGAUUGUCGCUUAUUGUGUUGUUGCUAUUAGUCAUUCAUCCACAUUCUGGAUUAAACCAAAAUAAUUGUCCUGGCGUAGCAACUAGAAAGUAGUAAAGGACUCAAAGUUUUCUAUUUCUUUUCUCCAGGCUGCAGAACAAUCUCUAAAAGUAGCAAAGUACCACAAGUUAGUUACCAAUUAACUUUUAGAAAUAUUGACUUCAAAAAGGCUACCACUAGGGCAUUUGGUUGUAAUUAUCAUAUUUAUGACUCAGCAUCCACCCAAAUAAUUAGGGUUCAAUCUAAUCAUGGAAACUUUUUUUUAAUAAAAAAACACCAAGGUUUUGUUUGGAUGUUGUUAGAUUCACCUAAGUCCACCCCAACACAUAUACGAAUCUGAUUACAUCCAAACAAAACGUAACAUGGAUAGUGCACCCUCUUGGACCCUUCUAUUAUUAUCAGCCAUUAAGGCCUUAUUUAGUUUGAGGCUGAAAAGUUUUUGGAUGUCACAUCGAAUGUCACGUG
Sorghum bicolor (sorghum) is the source of this 3020-nucleotide RNA transcript. RefSeq lists it as uncharacterized. The transcript has 3 exons. Lineage: Eukaryota; Viridiplantae; Streptophyta; Magnoliopsida; Poales; Poaceae. The record is from RefSeq and is a predicted model, not a curated record.